This 186-nucleotide ribosomal RNA is filed under the name Haemaphysalis longicornis (longhorned tick). Its description in RNAcentral is "Eukaryotic large subunit ribosomal RNA". It matches the Rfam family "Eukaryotic large subunit ribosomal RNA", at positions 2442 to 2586 of the family's 3401-position model. Lineage: Eukaryota; Metazoa; Arthropoda; Arachnida; Ixodida; Ixodidae. The record is from Rfam by way of RNAcentral.
CUGAAGAGACAUGAGAGGUGUAGAAUAAGUGGAAGGCGGUGCGGUUCGGUCCCGUUUCGGCGGGGUUCGGGCGUCCGUCAGUGAAUACCACUACUCUCAUCGUUUCCUUACUUACUCGGUGCAGCGGAGAGCGGAGCAAUGAGUGUUCACGCUCCUAGCGCUAUGUGCGGCGCUAUCUUUGCAAAG